Molecule: long non-coding RNA, 575 nt
Organism: Homo sapiens (human)
Lineage: Eukaryota; Metazoa; Chordata; Mammalia; Primates; Hominidae
Gene: SNHG4
Product: small nucleolar RNA host gene 4
Source: Ensembl
CUUUCCCCUCCGGCCUCUGCCGGUGCUGCUGCGCCCUGCGGAGCUCCGAACACGUGCGCGGAGUCCCAUAGAGCCUGACUCCGAGAGCCUCGAUCUCCCAGGGCCAGAGGCAGGGACUUUGGAAGAGAGGCUGGCUGUGGCAGAUGCAACUGCAGGAUGACUUGAAAGUAGGGCAUCCUUCACCCAUCUGAAGGGAGGAAAUAGUGGCAGGUGACAGUCUGCAUGUGCAGUUUUCAGAUGCCUUCACCUGAAUGACAUCUACCUCCAUCAGGACCCCAGAUGUCUGACAGCCCUGUGUGACACCAAGAUAAGUAACGUAUGUAGUCUUCUUGUCAUGUAGGUCCCAAUUAAAUUACUAUAGCUCAGAUGGGGGUAGGGGACUUAAAAUUAUGAUGUGAAAAAUUAUGUAGAGUAUCAGACUUUUUUUUGGGGGGGGACGGAGUCUUGCUCAGUUGCCCAGGCUAGAGUACAGUGGCUCGAUCUCGGCUCACUGCAACCUCUGCCUCCUGGGUUCAAGCGAUUCUCCUGCCUCAGCCUCCCGAGUAGCUGGGACUACAGGCACCUGCCACCAUGCC